GAUGAACGCUGGCGGCGUGCCUAAUACAUGCAAGUCGAGCGAACGGACGAGAAGCUUGCUUCUCUGAUGUUAGCGGCGGACGGGUGAGUAACACGUGGAUAACCUACCUAUAAGACUGGGAUAACUUCGGGAAACCGCAGCUAAUACCGGAUAAUAUUUUGAACCGCAUGGUUCAAAAGUGAAAGACGGUCUUGCUGUCACUUAUAGAUGGAUCCGCGCUGCAUUAGCUAGUUGGAAGGUAACGGCUUACCAAGGCAACGAUGCAUAGCCGACCUGAGAGGGUGAUCGGCCACACUGGAACUGAGACACGGUCCAGACUCCUACGGGAGGCAGCAGUAGGGAAUCUUCCGCAAUGGGCGAAAGCCUGACGGAGCAACGCCGCGUGAGUGAUGAAGGUCUUCGGAUCGUAAAACUCUGUUAUUAGGGAAGAACAUAUGUGUAAGUAACUGUGCACAUCUUGACGGUACCUAAUCAGAAAGCCACGGCUAACUACGUG
Molecule: ribosomal RNA, 496 nt
Filed under: uncultured bacterium
Lineage: Bacteria
Description: partial 16S ribosomal RNA
Rfam family: Bacterial small subunit ribosomal RNA
Source: RNAcentral